UACGAGGGGUGCAAGCGUUGCUCGGAAUUAUUGGGCGUAAAGGGUAGGUAGGUGGUCUCAUUUGUCUGGGGUGAAAGCCUUGAGCUUAACUCAAGAAGUGCCCCGGAAACGGUGAGACUCGAGUCUUGGAGAGGGUCGUGGAAUUCCCGGUGUAGCGGUGAAAUGCGUAGAGAUCGGGAGGAACACCAGAGGCGAAGGCGGCGACCUGGACAAGCACUGACACUCAACUACGAAAGCGUGGGGAGCAAACAGG
This 253-nucleotide ribosomal RNA is filed under the name uncultured bacterium. Its description in RNAcentral is "partial 16S ribosomal RNA". It matches the Rfam family "Bacterial small subunit ribosomal RNA", at positions 524 to 776 of the family's 1533-position model. The record is from RNAcentral.